CCCCUGCCUUCACUCUGCUUCUAAAGUCAAUGUGUCAUCCCCCUCGGCCCACCCCUUGACCUGGAUUUCUCCCCAACUGCCCUGCCUCCUCUGGGCUCACCCCUUCCCCAUUGCCUCAUCUGCUACUCUCCCUUGCCUGGCUCUCUACCCUCUGACUACAUUCUCGCUGGGGACCUGCCUUCUCUUCUUUCCAACUGGACCUGGACUGAAACUCUGAGGCCAUUUCUCUGGUGACGAAAUCCCUCACAUCAGGAACGGCUGCAGAUAAAAGCAAACAUCUUAGAAGAGCAAGUGUGACAUCUGGUUCGCUAUCAGGAAUAAAUCUCUACCUGCCAAGCAAGACUGUAAGGCAAUCUGGAACCAGUUACUACAUAAACUUGUUUUAUUUCAAAACCCUAUCACCUGACUUACCUUUCUAUUUAUUGCCUGCCUUGAAUUCAUUCUUCACCAGUGAGAUGC
RNAcentral lists this long non-coding RNA (459 nucleotides) under Canis lupus familiaris (dog). RNAcentral's name for it is "lncRNA (ENSCAFG00040006554.1)". The record is from RNAcentral. Lineage: Eukaryota; Metazoa; Chordata; Mammalia; Carnivora; Canidae.